AUAUCAAUAAGCGGAGGAAAAGAAACCAACAGGGAUUGCCUCAGUAACGGCGAGUGAAGCGGCAAGAGCUCAGAUUUGAAAUCCGGCCUCGGCCCGAGUUGUAAUCUGUAGAGGAACGUUCGGCGAUGCUGCCGGUCCAAGUCUUCUGGAACGGAGCGUCUUGGAGGGUGAGAACCCCGUAGCGACCGGCGAGCAGAGCCGCGUGAACGUCCUUCGAAGAGUCGAGUUGUUUGGGAAUGCAGCUCAAAACGGGUGGUAAAUUCCAUCUAAAGCUAAAUAUUGGCCAGAGACCGAUAGCGCACAAGUAGAGUGAUCGAAAGAUGAAAAGCACUUUGGAAAGAGAGUGAAACAGUACGUGAAAUUGUUGAAAGGGAAGCGCUUGCAACCAGACUUGAUUCCGGUCGUUCUGUUCGUCUCCGACGGGCUCACUCGACCGGGAGCAGGCCAGCAUCAGUUCCGGCGGUCGGAAAAAGGCUUGGGGAAUGUGACUCCCUUCGGGGAGUGUUAUAGCCCCUCGCACAAUACGGCCAGGCGGGACUGAGGAUCGCGUUCGCUUGGAUGUUGGCGUAAUGGUUGUCAGCGG
Molecule: ribosomal RNA, 583 nt
Filed under: uncultured fungus
Lineage: Eukaryota; Fungi
Description: eukaryotic LSU rRNA
Rfam family: Eukaryotic large subunit ribosomal RNA
Source: RNAcentral